This 460-nucleotide ribosomal RNA is filed under the name uncultured bacterium. RNAcentral describes it as "partial 16S ribosomal RNA". It matches the Rfam family "Bacterial small subunit ribosomal RNA", at positions 338 to 795 of the family's 1533-position model. The record is from RNAcentral.
CCUACGAGGGACAGCAGUGAGGAAUAUUGGUCAAUGGGCGCGAGCCUGAACCAGCCAAGUAGCGUGAAGGAUGACUGCCCUACGGGUUGUAAACUUCUUUUAUAAAGGAAUACAGUGAGGCUCGUGUGCCUUUUUGUAUGUACUUUAUGAAUUAGGAUCGGCUAACUCCGUGCCAGCAGCCGCGGUAAUACGGAGGAUCCGAGCGUUAUCCGGAUUUAUUGGGUUCAAAGGGAGCGUAGAUGGGUUGUUAAGUCAGUUGUGAAAGUUUGCGGCUCAACCGUAAACUUGCAAUUGAUACUGGCAGUCUUGAGGACAGUGGAGGAAGGGGUAAUUCGUGGUGUAGCGGUGAAAUGCAUAGAUAUCACGAAGAACUCCAAUUGAGAAGGCAGCUUACUAAGCUGCCACAGACAUUGAUGCUCGAUAGUGUGGGUAUCAAACAGGAGUAGAUACCCUGGUAGUA